GAUGAAGAACGUAGCGAAAUGCGAUAAGUAAUGUGAAUUGCAGAAUUCAGUGAAUCAUCGAAUCUUUGAACGCAUCUUGCGCUCCUUGGUAUUCCUUGGAGCAUGCCUGUUUGAGUAUCAUGAGCAAAUCUCAAAGUCAAUUCCUUUUGUUAAUUCAAUUGGUUUUGCUUUGGACUUGGAGGUCUUGCAGAUUUUCACAGUCUGCUCCUCUUAAAUGCAUUAGCUGGAUCUCAGUAAUUAUGCUUGGUUCCACUCGGCGUGAUAAGUAUCACUCGCUGAGGACACUGUUAAAAAGGUGGCCAGGAAAAUACUGAUUGAACCGCUUCUAACGGUCUAUUAAGUUAGACAAUUACCCUUAAGUUUGAUCUCAAAUCAGGUAGGACUACCCGCUGAACUUAAGCAUAUCAAUAAGCGGGAGGA
This 420-nucleotide unclassified non-coding RNA is filed under the name soil metagenome. Its description in RNAcentral is "partial contains 5.8S ribosomal RNA, internal transcribed spacer 2, and large subunit ribosomal RNA". The stretch from base 1 to 120 matches the Rfam family "5.8S ribosomal RNA", at positions 35 to 154 of the family's 154-position model. The record is from RNAcentral.